This 555-nucleotide ribosomal RNA is filed under the name Cyanea lamarckii. RNAcentral's name for it is "SSU rRNA". It matches the Rfam family "Eukaryotic small subunit ribosomal RNA", at positions 626 to 1187 of the family's 1831-position model. The record is from RNAcentral. Lineage: Eukaryota; Metazoa; Cnidaria; Scyphozoa; Semaeostomeae; Cyaneidae.
GCUCGUAGUUGGAUUUCGGGAUGGGCCAGUCGGUCUGCCGUAAGGUAUGUUACUGGCUGGUCUGUCCUUCUUCGCAAAGACUGCGUGUGCCCUUGAUUGUGUGUGCGUAGGAUUUGCGACGUUUACUUUGAAAAAAUUAGAGUGUUCAAAGCAGGCUGACCGCUUGAAUACAUGAGCAUGGAAUAAUGGAAUAGGACUUUGGUUCUAUUUUGUUGGUUUCUUGAACCGAAGUAAUGAUUAAGAGGGACAGUUGGGGGCAUUCGUAUUUCGUUGUCAGAGGUGAAAUUCUUGGAUUUACGAAAGACGAACAACUGCGAAAGCAUUUGCCAAGAAUGUUUUCAUUAAUCAAGAACGAAAGUUAGAGGCUCGAAGACGAUCAGAUACCGUCCUAGUUCUAACCAUAAACGAUGCCGACUAGGGAUCAGCGGGCGUUAUUUUAUGACCCCGUUGGCACCUUAUGGGAAACCAAAGUUUUUGGGUUCCGGGGGAAGUAUGGUUGCAAAGCUGAAACUUAAAGGAAUUGACGGAAGGGCACCACCAGGAGUGGAGCCUGCG